RNAcentral lists this ribosomal RNA (440 nucleotides) under uncultured bacterium. RNAcentral describes it as "partial 16S ribosomal RNA". It matches the Rfam family "Bacterial small subunit ribosomal RNA", at positions 338 to 795 of the family's 1533-position model. The record is from RNAcentral.
CCUACGGGUGGCAGCAGUGGGGAAUAUUGCACAAUGGGGGAAACCCUGAUGCAGCAACGCCGCGUGAGUGAAGAAGUCUUUCGGUAUGUAAACCUCUAUCAGCAGGGAAGAACAUGACACUACCUGACUCAGAAGCGCCGGCUAACUACGUGCCAGCAGCCGCGGUAAUACGGAGGGGGCAAGCGUGAUCCGGAUUUACUGGGUGUAAAGGGAGCGUAGACGGCUGCGCAAGUCAGAAGUGAAAGCCCGGGGCUCAACCGCGGGACGGCAUUUGAAACUGUGUAGCUAGAGUGUAGGAGAGGUAGGUGGAAUUCCUAGUGUAGCGGUGAAAUGCGUAGAUAUUAGGAGGAACACCGGUGGCGAAGGCGGCUUACUGGACGGUAACUGACGGUGAGGCUCGAAAGCGUGGGGAGCAAACAGGAUUAGAUACCCCAGUAGUC